RNAcentral lists this ribosomal RNA (242 nucleotides) under uncultured bacterium. Its description in RNAcentral is "partial 16S ribosomal RNA". It matches the Rfam family "Bacterial small subunit ribosomal RNA", at positions 92 to 334 of the family's 1533-position model. The record is from RNAcentral.
CGACCGGCGCACGGGUGAGUAACGCGUAUCCAACCUGCCCACCACUUGGGGAUAACCUUGCGAAAGUAAGACUAAUACCCAAUGAUAUCUCUAGAAGACAUCUGAAAGAGAUUAAAGAUUUAUCGGUGAUGGAUGGGGAUGCGUCUGAUUAGCUUGUUGGCGGGGUAACGGCCCACCAAGGCGACGAUCAGUAGGGGUUCUGAGAGGGAGGUCCCCCACAUUGGAACUGAGACACGGUCCAA